This is a non-coding RNA of Paramuricea clavata, 412 nucleotides long. Lineage: Eukaryota; Metazoa; Cnidaria; Anthozoa; Malacalcyonacea; Plexauridae. The record is from the annotation of a GenBank genome assembly.
UUUCUUUAACCUCUGGUCACAGAUUGACUGGACUGAAGAGGUUUGUAUCAAAGAGAAAAUGAGAAAUAUAUUCAUGCGCGAAACAUGAGGAUAUUAUUAUAUCUUUCAUUAACUUAUUAUCCAAUAUAGUUAUGACAAUCACAUCUUCAGUCCAGAAGCCCGAAUACGCGAGCCUCCCCAGUCCCCACUCGAGACAACGAAUUGUUCGUUCUGCUCUACUUGUGUCAAUCUUCUCACUGAAAUGUCAAAAACGGUGGGCAGAAGAGAGUUUUGACUAGAUUUGACGGUGGUUGUAUUUGUUUUAUUGCCGGAUAUUUCGGAAUUAUUUUUACUAUUUAUUUUGUGUAUAAAUGUAUAAUCUUUAAUUCUAAUUAAUUUCAACCAAGGUAUUAAUCAGAAGUGCUACCUUACA